UACAGGGGGUGCAAACGUUGCUCGGAAUCAUUGGGCGUAAAGCGCACGUAGGCGGUUCGUUAUGUCGGAUGUGAAAGCCCUUGGCUUAACCGAGGAAGUGCAUCCGAAACUGGCGAGCUAGAGUACGAAAGAGGAUCGCGGAAUUCCCGGUGUAGAGGUGAAAUUCGUAGAUAGUCGGGAGGAACACCGGGUGGCGAAGGCGGCGAUCUGGGUCGAUACUGACGCUGAGGUGCGAAAGCGUGGGGAGCAAACAGG
This 255-nucleotide ribosomal RNA is filed under the name uncultured bacterium. Its description in RNAcentral is "partial 16S ribosomal RNA". It matches the Rfam family "Bacterial small subunit ribosomal RNA", at positions 524 to 776 of the family's 1533-position model. The record is from RNAcentral.